CAGCAAGUGCAUAUUUUAUUAAACAAGAACCAAACAACAAUUAAUAGUCUCAUAGAAAGUUCCAUUUCAAACACAUAGUGAAAUUUUAAGUCUAUCAUAUUAUACAACAUGCAAGAAAUAUCUCUUUUUCUUUGGUGUGUUCGUGCUUUCCUUCUAUUACCCCACCACAUGUCGCUUUCCUCUCACUCUUUUCGGCACUGCUAGCGCCCGGAUGUCCGAUCCGGGUGCUCCGGGCGCUAGCCGUCAGAUGAUGAGUCCCGCAUCGCGCCUGCAUCAUGAGCCCCCCUGUCAUGCGCCACUACCGGUCUUGUUGGAGAGCCAUCGAGUGCUCUGCCCCUACACCCUGAGUCCUGCCGCCCGCACAAGCAAAGAGAAAGGAAGAGACAGCUGGUCGGAGGGAAGAUGAAGAUGAAAGAAUAGUUUAUGGAACAUCAAAAAUUGCAUCUGCAACACUGAAAAACAAUCUAUGCAACAUCAGAAAAAUCAACUUUUGCAGCUUCGAGAACAAUUUAUGGAACUAGCUCAUCACUGCAACAUCAAGGAAAAUAUAUUGCAACAUCAAAAAGAAGCUGCCACAACAUUCUUAACAUUCUACUCCAACCUUAGAAUGGCAUCUCCAUCUCUACCUAUCCAACUGACAUGUAUAGGGAAACAAAACUAGAUGCACUUUCGAAACAUUGAGGGAAAUCUAUUGCAACAGUUCGCUAAAAGCUACUGCAACAUCAAGACAGUAUCCCUGCAACAAAUCGAUUAACCCAUUUCCACAUAGGCAUGAUGCAAAGAGGGGAUGAAGAAGGACAGCCAUGUCUUGGAUUAGCAAGGGAGAAAACAGACAUUGAAGGAAGGGGCCACUGUCAUGCAGCAAAUCGAGCAGCCUGGUCACAUGUGUGUCACCCUCACCUGGUUCUCGUCUAUUUCCUCCACCUAGGGAGGCGGUGGUGCAUGGAGUUACGGGUCGUCUUCGUGAAGAAGCUGCUGCAGUAGUUGGAUGUCGGCUCAGUAGGGCAAGCAACAUGGGAUGUAGGAAGAAGAAGCAUCGAUGGAGGUCGCCAUGGCCGGAUGAGAGAAAAAAAUGAGUGGUUGAGAGCUGUCAGCUAGAUAUGGAU
RNAcentral lists this long non-coding RNA (1106 nucleotides) under Setaria italica (foxtail millet). RNAcentral describes it as "long non-coding RNA (SITA_LNC005064)". The record is from RNAcentral. Lineage: Eukaryota; Viridiplantae; Streptophyta; Magnoliopsida; Poales; Poaceae.